UGGGGAAUCUUCCGCAAUGGGCGAAAGCCUGACGGAGCAAUGCCGCGUGAGUGAAGAAGGUCUUCGGAUCGUAAAGCUCUGUUGAGAGGGACGAGAGAUUACUUCAGGAAAUGGGAGUAAGAGGACGGUACCUUUCGAGGAAGCCACGGCUAACUACGUGCCAGCAGCCGCGGUAAAACGUAGGGUGCAAGCGUUGUCCGGAAUUACUGGGUGUAAAGGGAGCGCAGGCGGGCAUGCAAGUUGGAAGUGAAAAACUAUGGGCUCAACCCAUAGCCUGCUUUCAAAACUGCGUGUCUUGAGUAGUGCAGAGGUAGGCGGAAUUCCCGGUGUAGCGGUGGAAUGCGUAGAUAUCGGGAGGAACACCAGUGGCGAAGGCGGCCUACUGGGCACCAACUGACGCUGAGGCUCGAAAGCAUGGGUA
Molecule: ribosomal RNA, 421 nt
Filed under: uncultured Subdoligranulum sp.
Lineage: Bacteria; Bacillati; Bacillota; Clostridia; Eubacteriales; Oscillospiraceae
Description: bacterial SSU rRNA
Rfam family: Bacterial small subunit ribosomal RNA
Source: RNAcentral